GAAGGAGUCAGGGAUCGUUCUAAAAAAUCGCCUCUUCCUGUUUGGACAUUGCUGCAGGGCAUCGAUUGUGAUCAUGUUCAUGCAGUCCCUGCACUAGGCAGUGGUGCUGUCAGCCCUGCACUGCACUGCACUGCACUGGGCAAGGCCAAAGACUCGAUCAGGGCUCGUGCCUGAGGCGGUGGAGUUGAAGCCUCUGGAGAUGGGGACAUUGGCUUUGAGGGAUUGAAGGAGGCUAUUCAGGUUCUCCUCAUAACUGCUUCCUGCCGUGUAAUUUGUAGAGCCCAAGCAAACUUCAACUGCUUUUGCUAUAUGCGGGAGAAGCAUGAAUCGCAGAAGUGAAAAAAACAGGUGACUUGUAAACACAAUCAAACGUAUCUCUCGCUUUCCGCCUCUCUCUCUCUCUCUCUGCUGUCUUUAAUUCUGUCUGCUUUCUCUACUUCUCUCACUUUCUCAAUUUGCUGUUUGUUUUUUUUUGGGCAUGUAUUCCACGCUCCCUCUCCCUCGAGAGUAUGGUUUACUUCUACUCCUUCAGGUAGACGGCCUAUUUGGGAGAUUUUUUAUUAACCUAAAGUUUUGGUAAUCACCUAAUAAUCACUGGAUGAUAUUUCUCAAAAACAAAUUUUGAAAUAUGAGUUUUUUAACAGUUAGAUCUCACCUUUAAAAAUUGGAUGAUUUCUAUUCAAUCUUGAGACAUUAUUUUUUUCAAGCACUUUGAGGGAAUUAAAAAUAUUUUUUAUUAAAAUUAAUUUAUCUGUUAGAACGUUUAUAUCCUAAAAUUUAGGGUCUCAAAAUUAUAGAAAAUUGUUUGGUGCCAUCAAGCCCGCAAGUGUUAUUAUGCAGGCUUGGAGAUCUACACCAUCCACCAAAGAAAGUGUCGAUCUACACCAUAAAUAUUAGUCCUCCAAAAGUAAAAUCAACCGUUCAAAUAUUUUUUUCUAAAAAUAUCAUUCUAGUUUUUUAUUUAUUUAUUUUUACAGAUUAAUAAUCUGCAUGUUGAAGAUUAUGUAUUCUCUAAAACCAAGAGUAAAGUGCAUUUCAAAAAUGAAUUAUUAAGGGGACCUCAUUUAUACAUAUGAGUCCAUGGACUCAUAGAAAUCGUAUCUUAAAAUUAUUCUUACAUGGGUAGCUGUAGAGGUAAGGUGCGCCUUCAAAAUUUAUCAUGGCAUAUAAUUUUGAUGUAAAAUGUUCUUAGAAUUAUCUCAAAAUCUAUUUUUAUAUCUAAUUAUAAAAUUUUAAAUUUCAAAAAUGGUUAAAAUCAAGUAGAUCUAUAGACAUAUGAAAAUAUUGAAAAUGGACGGUGUAGAUAAUAUGUUGUAAAAUGCACUAUUUCUGAGACUUAAAAUCUUUUUAUUUUUCAUGGUCAUACAUCUCGAUCUCGAGAUGAUCAAUCAAAGGGUUUUUCAACAUUAAAACUACCUUUUCCGAUAGAUUUUUGAGGUGCAUCCAUAGCUCUACAUUAUAAGGUUGCAACCUUAUAUAAACCUUUUCCUUCUUAAACAGGUUUUAUCUCAGGGUGUAAAUAAACAGUAUACUCAAGGAAAUAUAAUAUCUUCACUUAAAACAUGGCGACUCCACCAAGGCCAUGACAUCGGAGUUGUUAUUGAUGUGGAAAAGCAAAGCCAAAGGCUUUUUCCUUCGUUUUUUUCUAGGGAAAAUUACAAACCAAUCUAACUUUUUUUCUCUUUUUUUUUUUCGAAACAAACUUUCUAUGCAAAUACCCUCAAGAGAAAAAAUUCAUUAUUUUUAGACAAAAUGCCAUUCUCAAACACUAAAAUCAUUUUGGCCAAAUUUGACGUUGACUUUUGGACCCCAGUAGCAUAUUGUCAGAACGCACAUCACAUUGCCGGAGCGCACAAGUGCCAGACCACCCUAAGACAACUAGCAGACUGAAACCUGGACUGUGCCAGAGCCCAAUAGCACAAUGUCGGAGCGCACAUCACAUUGCCGGCCCUUUACUUAGUGCUGGAACCCUGUAAUCCAGUAACAUCUACUAUCAGAUUGCUUUUUGCAACUGCCCAACCGUACUUUACACAAUGUCGGAGCCCUAAUGUUGGACCGUAACUAGAGCCCUACUACCGGACCACAACUGGAGCCGUACUGCCGGACCGUACUUACACAGUGUCAAAGCCCCUAGUUUGGUGAGAUAGAUGAGAGAGAGGGCCCUAAUGUCGGACCGUAACUGGAGCCCUACUGCCGGACAGCAAUGGGAGCCCUACUGCCUAACCGCACUUGCACAGUAUCAAAGCCCCUAUUUUGGUGAGAAAAAAGAGAGGGAGGCAUUUUAAAGUAAAAGCAAGGGAUGGUAGUUUAGCCAUUUUUUUUACUUUUUAUCUUAGUUGGGGGUAUUUGCAUAGAAAAUAUAUUUAAAAAAAAAAAAGUGAAAAAAAAAGUCCGUAUAAAGUGUAGUCUUUGGGUUUUUGUAAUCUUUUCCACUAAAUUUCAGUUGGGCGUAUUUGCAUAUAAAAUAUAUUUAAAAAAAAAAAGGUGGAAAAAAAAAAAAAGGGUUAGAACAAGUCCGUAGAAAGUGUAGUAUUUGGGUUUUUGUAAUCUUUUCCACCAAAUUUCGUGCAAGAUGGGAGCCACUUUCUUGUUGACGCUGUGCAGAAGUGUAUGGAGGCGUUUGUUAAUGCGGACUGCGUCAUGGAAAUGACCCGCUCUUUCGUUAAUAUUGCUAUUUCUCCUAGAUCCAAAUGGACUUCCGUGUAGUAUACACUUACUACGGAUGCAAGAUGCGUUGCAUGUUUUUAGCCGUUCAUUUUCAUGAGUAGAAAUGAUAUUGUCAGAGGACACGGUUUAUACGAGUCUGCGUUCUCAUAUGAAGGUAUGUAUUCUCUCUCUAUUAUUUAUUUUUUGAGAUGGAUUUUGCAUUAAAUAUUUUAAAUAUAUAUAAUCUCUAAUAUUUAUCUAAAGAAGGGUGAGGAUCUUAAACUUUUUUUUUACCAUUUAUUUUAAUCCUUUGUGGCGGCGCCAUUUUUUUGCGUCCAUCUUUAAGAUGGAUGCUUGGUGCGUCAAGGGACGUAAAUAUAGUAUUCUAUCCCCUGACGCACAAUAAUAUUUUCCAAUUAUUCAAUACAAUUGUUCUCGAUAGUUAAAAAGUAUUUUAGAAACACCUCGAUUAUAGCAUGUUUUUGUUGCACAUUGUAUAACAACUUCCUUGGGCGAAAGUGUCACUUGAGAGAUUUUUUCAUAUUUAAAAUUUGGGACGCAUAUUUUUAAGAAACAUAAUGGAUUGGAUGUUCUUCAACACCGAGAUCUUGCCCUUCAAAAAUUGGAUAGCUCUUGUUCAAUCUGGCACAUUAGUAUUUUCGAGGAACAUAGAGAGUCCUAUUUAAUUUUUGUAUGAAGUUCAUUGUUAGAUUCUACAUGCUGCAACCCCAAAUGUUUGGUCUCCAAAAAAUAUUCAUAGCAUAUCGGCUGGUAACGGACUAGGUGGCCCAAUUCUGCCCCAAAGAACUAGGGCUUGGGCCACAAAAUUAUAGAAUUGAGGUUGGCAAGGCUUGGGGCCCAUAGUACUGGCCCGGUCUAGCUCAGCCUAAUCCUAUUUCUUUUUCCUUUUCUUCUUAAUUUCUCUUUCAUUGUAUGUGACCUUGCCAAACUCGUCUUUGACAAGGCCAAGUCUCAGCCUGGGCCAAGGCCUCUACAACCCUGUUUUUUUUGUUUUUUUUGGUAAAUAAAUUCUUAGCCUCUUUAGCCCAAUCAUUUAACAAUACUUCAACAAAAGGUUUUUACUGUAAAAAAAACUCCCUUAUGUGAUUAAAUAUUGGAGUUUUCUCACAUCAAUUGGCUGCUAAUUAGUACGAAAAAAUACGUUUGAACCAACUAGUACAAAAAAAAAAGAAAAAUUUCAUAUAAAACCCUAAUUCUUCGUAUUAUUUCAUGGUAUACAUUCUUUUCCUUUUUUUUCAAGCGGCAUAAAAAAAACCUCUAAAGAUUUCAUCAUACCCCAUUAUCUCUUAUCUCCAUCUUUUAUUGACUUUUGAUUAUAAAAAUUAGCCCCAACAAAUCUUUUGUAUCAUUUUAACCAAUAAACUUUUUUAAUGGGUGGAAUAGAAAAAGAAGGUUAAAAACGUUUUUGGGGUGAAAUGAUGUAAAAAUAUUUAUUAGGGCUAAUUUUUAUGGUAAAAAGUCAAUAAAAAAGGGAGAUGAGAGAUGACGGGGUACGGUGAAAUCUUUAGGAAUUUCUUUAUGCUCCUUGAAAGUAAAACGGAAAGAGGGUCUACCAUGAAAUAAUAUGAGGAAUUACAGCUCUAUACAAACUUUUCUCAAAAAAAUAUGUUGUGACCAGUGGUUUAAAAAACGAACCGGUGCCCUUGAUUGGGCACUCCAAAAAUCAAUCCGGAUCAGUGAAUAGGCUAUCCGGAUCGGGAAUCGACUGAAUCGGUCGGAUUAAGCUUUGAAAAAAAUUCAAAAAAAUUAUUAAAUUUCAUUAUAAAUGUUGUUUUUUAGGAAUCCAGUAAAAAAUUGGGGUAUUAUUGCAUUAUUAACUUUCAUUUUUUUCAUCAAUUUACGAAUAUUGAGAUGUUAUUUCCCUAUAUGAAAUUAUGUUAACCAUUAAAUUUACAUCAUACAAAUCUUGAAUUGGCAAACUCUAAUCCGCUAAAAACAAACCCAAAUUAUUACAACCUAAUUAACUAUGAUAUUAUAUAUUGAAAGUAAAAUAGUUGGUUUAUAUUUUAUAAUUAUUUUAUUAAACAAAUAAUAACAAAUCCAAAAAAAUAAGAAUAUGUUGUGCUACAUUUUUUUUGCUUGUUUUAUUUUUUAUUUUUACUUUAUUUUCUUCCUUUUAUACUUUGUUUUUGAAAUACCUUUUCUUUUUUAUUUGUCCCUUUUACUUUAUUUUGGUUUUUGUAGAGGAUAAAAAAGGUGUUUUUUUAAAAAAAAACCUUUUAUUUUUUUAUUUUUUCCUUUUACUUUAUUUUGUUUGGACAAAUUUGUGGUAGAGGACAAAAAAAGGGAUGGCGCCCAAGGGGUUCGAAGUCGGGACUUAUAAGAAAAAUUUAAGAGCCAAAGCCAAUAGUGUAUAAAUAUUAUAAUCAUUUUGCGUGCAUGUGGUAAUUAUCCCACAUCUUUAAUCUAAGUGUGCAUACUGGAGGGGCAUUACUAGAUGCGUUGGUUGCGUUGCAGGCUGCUUCUCAAUACUGAGAUUCCAUGCGCGCUUAACGUGAGGCAAUAAAAAUAUGCUCUUAAAUUUUAAAUAAAUUACAGACUUUGGCCUAACAAUUUUUAGCACUUGAAAUCGAUUGUGUAACUGUAGUGACUCGGCGAGUUUCACAAGUUAUCAUUACGAAUCCGUCCGGCUCUCUCUAGACAUGUUAUCGCUAUGAACCCGUCCGGUUCUCUCUAGACAUGGGCAGUCGGUUCCCGUCCGGAUCUCUUUAGACAUGGGUGGUUUUUUGUAUUUUGGUGGAAUCGGCACACAUGAGCGGUUUUUUGUAUUUUGGUAGAACCGACACGGGGUGCCGAUUCCUGUGUCGAGCCAGGAUGAGGAUGUUUGGACAUGGGCGGUUUUUCGUGUUUUGGUAGAACCAGCACACAUGGGUGGUUUUUUGUAUUUUGGUGGAACCGGCACACAUGGGUGGUUGUUUGUAUUUUGGUGGAACCUGCACGGGGUGCCGGUUCCCAUGUCGAGCCAGGAUGAGGAUGAGGAUGUUUGGACAUGGGCGGUUCUUCGUGUUUUGGUGGAACCGGCAUGAGGUGUCGAUUCUCUCGUCGAACCGGGAUGAGGAUGAGGAUGUUUGGUGGAACCGGUUUUUUUUAUUUUGGUGGAAUCGGCACACAUGCGAGGUUUUUUGUAGUUUGGUGGAACCGGCACGGGGUGCCGAUUCCCCGUGUCGAGCCUGGAUGAGGAUGAGAAUGUUUGGACAUGGGCGGUUCUUCGUGUUUUGGUGGAACCGGCAUGGGGUGCCAAUUCUCAUGUUGAACAGGGAUGAGGAUGAGGAUGUUUGGUGGAACCAGCACGGGGUGCCGAUUCCCGUGUCGAACAGAGAUGAGGAUGAGGAUGUUUGGUGGAACCAGCACGGGGUGCCGAUUCCCGUGUCGAACCGAGAUGAGGAUGAGGAUGAUUUGCAGGCCUUUCAACAGUCGCUAGGGAGAUGGCCUUUCCGGUGCAGUUCAGGUUGGUUGUUGUUUUGGUGGAACCGACAAGGGAGUGCCGACGUGUCGAACAGGGCGAGUCCGGUUCGACUCGGUGACUUUUCAAACACUGGUUGUGUGACCAAUUGGUGUGAAACUUUAUCACACAUAUAAUCACAUGAAGGAGCUUUUUAAAAAGGGAAAAGUUUUAAUAAGGUUGCAACCUUAAAAUGUAGAAUCACAUAUGCACCUCAAAAAUCUAUCGGAAAUGUUGUUUUAAUGUUGAAAAAACCCUCUAAUCCAUCAUCUCGACAUCGAGAUGUAUGAAUAUGAAAAAAAAAAAAAGUUUUUGAGUCCCGAAAAUAGUGCAUCUUGCAACACAUUAUCUAGACCUUUUAUUUUCAAGAUUCUCUUAUAUUUAUAGAUAUACUUGAUUUUAACUAAUUGUAAAUUUUUAAAUUUUCUAAAUAGGUAUGAAAAUAGAUUUUAAGGUAAUUCUAAUAAUUUUUUACAAUAAAAUUAUAAAGUGCGUCUUAAUUGGAUUGUUUAAGGUUGCAACUUUAUAGAAACCGCACCCUUUUAGAAAUAUUUUUACUCAAAUAGUUUUACCCGUGCCAAAUGUGCCCUAAUAAGAGAAAACGUAUCAUCCGAUUUUAUAAAAACAAGCCACAUGAUGUGCGGUAUUAGCAUGUCAAUUUGUUUAGAAUGCGAUUUUGAUUUCAACGAAAAUGGUAAUGUGGGUGAGAACAAUCAAACGUUGUUAUUACCGAUGAAUAAAAGGCCUUUAAAAUAUAAAACUAUGAGCAAUUUUAUUAGCGUUGUUAUUGAGAAUGCUCUUUUUAUAAAAAAUAAAAAAUAAAUUGAGAUUGCUCUUCCAUUUUACUAAAAAAAAAAAGAAGAGCAAUCUCAAAUAUUAUUUGUACCUACAUAUUUCAUCAUUCUCUCACGUCAAAGGCAAGGCAUGUUAGAACUUGGAAGUGGGUUCGUUAGAAAUUCACGCUCACAGCAUCCAUACACUCACUAGAAGCCCCGUGCCGAGACACUAUAUUGAAAAGGACAAAAUUUAUAUAAGUGUGAGGCUCUAAACAAUCAAAUUAGGGCGCACAUAAAACAUUUCACUAGAACAGGUUGUUUUGAUGCCCAAAUAUUUUUAAAUUGAUCAGCUUGGUAUCAAGAUGCAUGGACAUGAGAAAAAAAUAGAUUUCAAGUUUUGAAAAUAGUGUCUUGUAAUACCUUUUUAAACCAUCAAUUUUCAAGUUUUCAUAAAUCUGCUGGAUCUACACUAUUUUUUAAACUUUAAAUUUUGUAAUUAGAUAUAAAAAUAUAUUUUAAGGCUAUCACAAAUAUAUUUUAAGGCUAUCACAAACAUUCUCGACACUAUUUGAAGGUAGGCUUUAUUUUGAUUGUUUAAAGCCUCGCCUUUAUACAAACCGCACCCUUAUAAAAAAGGGAUAUGUUAGAGUACUCGUAUAGGUGAAUAUUUAAUUAAGGGCCAGAGCAAUUUAUAAUGGGAAAAGUACAGAUAUCCUCAAGUUUGUACUUUCUAGACAACCUUCCCCCAACAAAACUUUUCUUUGCAACUUUUACCCCAAAUCAUACUUUUUUAGCAAAUAAACACCCAAGUCAAAAAAAAAAGUAAAAAAUACCAAAAUGGCCUCUUGUAAGAUAAAGUACCUCUCUCUUUGCCAGUCGUGGUCUCGGUCUGACAAUAGGAUAGCGGUCUGGCACUAGCUGCACGCGGUCCGACAAUUGUUUCUUUGUCUAGGUUGUCGGUUCGGCAAAAGGAAAUGCGGUCCGGCACUAGGUGCCCUCGAUCUGACAAAUUUUUGAUGGGGUCCGGCAGUUGUUCUACACGGUCCGGCACAUGAUGACUUCGGUCUGGCGCGUCUUUACCUCGGUCCCGCACAUCUUUACCUCGGUCCCGCACAUCUUUACAUCGGUUCGACAAUCGUUUACUACGGUCCGAUAGUCAACUCUUGGUUGCGUAUUUUACGAGGAUGUGACGCAAGUUUGUACUAACAAGGGCAUUUUGGUCUAAAUAAAUAUAACUUUUUGACUUUGGGGGGGGGGGAUUUGCUAGAAAAAUAUUUUUUGGGGUAAAAGUUGCAAAAGUAAAAUUGGUUGGGGUGAGGUUGUGUAGAAAGUCCAAGGCUAGGGGAUAUAUGCAAUUUUUCCUUUUAUAAUUGUACUCAACAAAUUUUGGAUAUUUUUAUAACAUUGUUUUCUACAUUAAAUAGUUUUUUAAUAAUGAUAUUUUAGGUCAUUAGGAGAGAUGUGAGUGUGUGAUAUCAUCUACAUAGAUUUGACAUCACUCACAUAAAACAUUUAAUGCUCUAUGUAGGUGAUGUCACACCCCAUGUGAAUGAUAUCACACAUCUCCUAAUGACCAAAAGUAUCUUUACCAAAAAUAUAUUAUAUUACAAAAUAAUGGUAUGUAAGUGUCUAAAAUUUGUUGAGUACAAUUGUAAAAUGCUCUAUAGUAUUAGCACCUUAACAUAACCGUUUAAUUAAUGUACUCAAGUAUUUUGGACACUCAUAUACAUUUGUUUUACAAUAUAAAUUUUUUUAAGAGACAACACUUUUCGUAAUUAUGAGGAGUAAAUGGGAUAUUUUUAUGAUAAGAAGCAGUCAUUGCUCCAUGGGAGUCAUAUCACAAUAAUGUCAUCAUUCCUUAUAAGUAAUAUAUUCUUUCGAUCGAGAAUUUUAAUUUUAUCUCUGAUUAAUUAUCUAAAAUACCCCUAGACAAAAAAGUUGUUAUAUAAUAGGAUAAGGGUAUUGAGUGUUAAAAAACAUUGAAUACAUUAUAAAAAUACUCAUGUACAUGCAUACCCUACCAUAAUUCUAUAAAAAAUACCAAAGCACAAAACAUAUCUACAUUCAUGAGGUCGUAGUCUAUCUCUCGGUUCUACUAUCAUCUUCUCUCUCUCUCUGCCAUGGUCAUGUCUCUUGAUUCCCAGAUUAUACACUAUACCCUCUCUCCCAUACACAUUGUAUGAAGUCAUCUCUCCAGGAUGUGCCUUACCGGACUCUCUCUCAUGGCAUGUAUUGGCCUCACAAUGACCACUUGGGACAUAACACCCUCCCCCUCCCUCUCUCUCUCUCCCUCUAUAGCUACAUCUCAAGUAAAUGCCCCUAACUUACAUUUUGGAGUGCCAAUGGUCCCGCCCAGGCUAGAGGCUAUCGGGCAGGGCCUAGAUUUUGGAUCAGGUUUAGGCCAACUUUCGGCCGGGCUAGGGCUAUAUGAAGAUGUCCAGCGAUUUUCGAGGUUGGUCGGACCAUACACCGACCGACCCAAAAGCUCGAACUUUAAAUGCGUCUCUUCUCUCUCUCAAAACUGAAAAGCCUAAACACCCGGUCUGCUUCUCUCUGUCUCUUUCUCUCUCUUAUGCAGGCAAUGAUGGCUACGUUGUUGCGUGUGGAAGCUCUAAAAUCCAACGAGUUGAUUUUUUGCAAAUAAAGAGCGAGAAAAAUAAAAUUUGAAAUAAGCAAAAAAAAUAAAACAAAAAAAAAUAUUGUAAAAAAAAUACUCGGAUUUAUGUGGUUCACACCAAAUAGCUAUAUUCAUAGGCAUGGCAAACUAAAAUCCACUAUACCGAAAAGAGUUACAUCACGGAUUUUGAGAUACGAAAUGUAUCUUACUAAUCAUCGACAAUACCCAGUCGAACAAUCCUUGAAACUACUCUCCAGACCAAUAACACCUAUCAUUUAUCCUUCUUUCAUACUCUGAGAACUAUUACCGAACACACCAGAUAGAGACGCAAGAGCAAAGAGAAACCAAUUUUCUCUCUACAAAGAGGAUACCAUCCAAAUUCUUCAUGAGAACAACUUCUCUAUAAGAAAAAAAAAUAUCUCUCCUUGCAGGCUAAUUGUUUCUCUGACUGGAACCUCACUUUUCUCUCUAAAGACUCCUUCAUAUGCUCCUCCUCCUCCUCUUCCUAUGUGCAAGAGGUCUAUGCUCCUCCUCCUCCUCUUCCUAUGUGCAAGAGGCCUUACCUCUAUAGGGCACAUUUUUUCAUUUCUUUCUCAUUUAAUAGGUAUAAAGUUAUGAAUCCCAUAACAAAUAGAAUCCAUAUCCCAUUAGGAAAUGUGUACAAAAGGUAAAUGGUCUCAUUAUAUACUUUCCCUUAGGAAAUAUCUUGUGUUAUUUGGUCUCCGAAAAACAAGAAAUGUUACAUCCUACAAAACAUAAAUCUUUAUAAAUAUAGAAACUCUUCAAUAUCAAUAUCAAUCCCAAUAAUAUAGAAUUUUCUUAUGCAGGUGAUUUUCAAUAUCACCAUAAUCAACAUUCCCUCGUCUUCCGUGAAGAAAACAAACCCAAAAACCUCCCACCAUUCAAGAGGCCCCAAGAAUCACUCCAUGGCGCUUUUGUUGUCUCACUAAAAACAAAAGGACACGGUUUGUAUGAGUCCAUGUAGAAAGGAGUCACCUCCCAAAAAUCUAUUUUUGUGAUGGAUUUUUUUACCUAAUUUUUAAGGACA
This 10550-nucleotide long non-coding RNA is filed under the name Amborella trichopoda. RNAcentral's name for it is "long non-coding RNA (ATRI_LNC001753)". The record is from RNAcentral. Lineage: Eukaryota; Viridiplantae; Streptophyta; Magnoliopsida; Amborellales; Amborellaceae.